RNAcentral lists this ribosomal RNA (209 nucleotides) under uncultured bacterium. RNAcentral describes it as "partial 16S ribosomal RNA". It matches the Rfam family "Bacterial small subunit ribosomal RNA", at positions 568 to 774 of the family's 1533-position model. The record is from RNAcentral.
CGUGUAGGCGGCUUGUUAAGUUAGGUGCGAAAGACCAUGGCUCAACCAUGGAAUUGUACUUAAAACUGGCAGGCUUGAGUAUAGGAGAGGAGAGUGGAAUUCCCAGUGUAGCGGUGAAAUGCGUAGAUAUUGGGAGGAACACCGGUGGCGAAGGCGGCUCUCUGGACUAAUACUGACGCUGAGGCGCGAAAGCCGAGGGGGAGCGAACG